Molecule: long non-coding RNA, 105 nt
Organism: Malaclemys terrapin pileata
Lineage: Eukaryota; Metazoa; Chordata; Testudines; Emydidae
Exons: 4
Source: RefSeq, a predicted model, not a curated record
CCGCCGGCUCUCCACGUCCUACUGGAAGAGCCGGGAGCUGCGCCGGUCGCGGAUAGCGAGACGGUCGACCGACAUCUCUGGGGUCAAUAUAUGUCUCCAGCAGAC